Molecule: ribosomal RNA, 481 nt
Filed under: uncultured bacterium
Lineage: Bacteria
Description: bacterial SSU rRNA
Rfam family: Bacterial small subunit ribosomal RNA
Source: RNAcentral
AACUAACGCUGGCGGCGUGCCUAACACAUGCAAGUCGUACGAGAAAGUCCCGUUCGCGGGAUGAGUAAAGUGGCGCACGGGUGAGUAAUGCGUGGAUAAUCUGCCCUUUAGUUGGGAAUAACGUGCCGAAAGGUGCGCUAAUACCCGAUAAUACUGCACAACUACUGUUGUGUAGUCAAAGAAGGCCUCUGUUUACAAGCUUUUGCUGAAGGAUGAGUCCGCGUACCAUUAGCUGGUUGGUGGGGUAAUGGCCUACCAAGGCUACGAUGGUUAGCUGGUCUGAGAGGAUGAUCAGCCACACUGGAACUGAGACACGGUCCAGACUCCUACGGGAGGCAGCAGUCGAGAAUAGUCUACAAUGGCCGAAAGGCUGAUAGUGCGACGCCGCGUUGAACGAAGAAGCCCUUCGGGGUGUAAAGUUCUUUUAUAUGUGAGCAGUGCUUUCUAUGUGAACAGCAUGGGGAGAGAGAUAUUAGCAUAU